RNAcentral lists this long non-coding RNA (297 nucleotides) under Elaeis guineensis (African oil palm). RNAcentral describes it as "long non-coding RNA (EGUI_LNC078483)". Lineage: Eukaryota; Viridiplantae; Streptophyta; Magnoliopsida; Arecales; Arecaceae. The record is from RNAcentral.
GUGGUCUUCUCUUGGUCCCUUGUCUCCUUCUCCUCAUGAAGCAUCUAAAUUUUUUGGUGAUUAGGGUCAAAAUCCUCAUCUUCCUCGUUGUUCUCUGAUUUUUCUGUAUCUUCUUCUUCUUGAGCUAUCAACUUAAGAGUAAUAGUCUUCUUUCUUCUAGUCUCCUUAGAGUGUUGCUUCAUGGUCAGCUCAUGAGUCAUGAGGGAUCCAAGUAGCUCUUCCAAUGGUAGAGUAUUUAAAUCAAUGACUUCUUGGAUUGUAGUGACCUUUGCCUUCUACGAUCUUGGUAAAGACCUG